GGGCCUGUAGCUCAGUAGGUGAGAGCGCACGCCUGAUAAGCGUGAGGUCGGUGGUUCGAGUCCACUCAGGCCCACCA
RNAcentral lists this transfer RNA (77 nucleotides) under Natribacillus halophilus. RNAcentral's name for it is "tRNA_Ile_GAT". It matches the Rfam family "tRNA". From Rfam's summary of the family: Transfer RNA (tRNA) molecules are approximately 80 nucleotides in length. The record is from RNAcentral. Lineage: Bacteria; Bacillati; Bacillota; Bacilli; Caryophanales; Bacillaceae.